GACGAACGAUGGCGGCGUGAUUAACACAUGCAAGUCGAACGGUAAGGCCCUUCGGGGUACACGAGUGGCGAACGGGUGAGUAACACGUGGGUGAUCUGGCCUGCACUUCGGGAUAAGCCUGGGAAACUGGGUCUAAUACCGGAUAGGACUCCUGACUUCAUAGUUGGGGGUAGAAAGCUUUUGCGGUGGGGGAUGGGCCCGCGUCCUAUCAGCUUGUUGGUGGGGUAAUGGCCAACCAACGCGACGAAGGGUAGCCGGCCUGAGAGGGUUACCGGUAACGCUGGGACUGAUAUACGCGCCAGACUCCUAGUGGAGGCCGCCGUGGAUGAUAUUCCACAAUGGGCGGAAGCCUGAUGCAGCGACACCGCGGGAGUGAUGACGGCAUUAGGGUUCUAAACAUUUUUCAGCUAUAACGAAGCGCAAGUGACGGUAAUAGCAGAAGAAGGACCGGCCAACUACGUGCCAGCAGCAGCCGCCG
RNAcentral lists this ribosomal RNA (478 nucleotides) under uncultured bacterium. RNAcentral's name for it is "partial 16S ribosomal RNA". It matches the Rfam family "Bacterial small subunit ribosomal RNA", at positions 28 to 523 of the family's 1533-position model. The record is from RNAcentral.